RNAcentral lists this ribosomal RNA (450 nucleotides) under uncultured bacterium. RNAcentral describes it as "partial 16S ribosomal RNA". It matches the Rfam family "Bacterial small subunit ribosomal RNA", at positions 354 to 796 of the family's 1533-position model. The record is from RNAcentral.
GUGGGGAAUAUUGGACAAUGGGCGAAAGCCUGAUCCAGCCAUGCCGCGUGUGUGAAGAAGGUCUUCGGAUUGUAAAGCACUUUAAGUUGGGAGGAAGGGCAGUAAGUUAAUACCUUGCUGUUUUGACGUUACCAACAGAAUAAGCACCGGCUAACUUCGUGCCAGCAGCCGCGGUAAUACGAAGGGUGCAAGCGUUAAUCGGAAUUACUGGGUGUAAAGCGCGCGUAGGUGGUUCAGCAAGUUUGAGGUGAAAUCCCCGGGCUCAACCUGGGAACUGCCUCCAAAACUGCAUGACUAGAGUACGGUAGAGGGUAGUGGAAUUUCCUGUGUAGCGGUGAAAUGCGUAGAUAUAGGAAGGAACACCAGUGGCGAAGGCGACUACCUGGACUGAUACUGACACUGAGGUGCGAAAGCGUGGGGAGCAAACAGGAUUAGAUACCCGAGUAGUCC